RNAcentral lists this ribosomal RNA (305 nucleotides) under uncultured bacterium. RNAcentral describes it as "bacterial SSU rRNA". It matches the Rfam family "Bacterial small subunit ribosomal RNA", at positions 333 to 635 of the family's 1533-position model. The record is from RNAcentral.
AUUAUCCUACGGGGGGCAGCAGUGAGGAAUAUUGGUCAAUGGACGCAAGUCUGAACCAGCCAAGUAGCGUGCAGGAUGACGGCCCUACGGGUUGUAAACUUCUUUUGUCAGGGAGCAAUUGGGUCCACGCGUGGGCUUAGCGAGAGUACCUGAAGAAAAAGCAUCGGCUAACUCCGUGCCAGCAGCCGCGGUAAUACGGAGGAUGCGAGCGUUAUCCGGAUUUAUUGGGUUUAAAGGGUGCGUAGGCGGAAUAUCAAGUCAGCGGUAAAAAUGCGGGGCUCAACCCCGUCGUGCCGUUGAAACUG